Molecule: small nuclear RNA, 82 nt
Filed under: Cervus elaphus hippelaphus
Lineage: Eukaryota; Metazoa; Chordata; Mammalia; Artiodactyla; Cervidae
Source: RNAcentral
CUUACUCUGAAAAUACAUAUGCUAAGAUUAGAAUUAUAUAGACAAUACUAGCAUGAUUUCAAUGCAAGGAUGGCAUACAAAU